AUGACAGUCCUGAGCUGGAACUGUCGGGGGAUUGGCCAACCCCGGACAGUUCAUGAGCUAGUUGGGCUAGUGCAUUCGCUCAAACCCAAACUAGUCUUCCUCUCUGAAACACGGCAAAAGGAUGACUACGUCAAUAAAUUAAGAUGGAGGCUAGGCCUCAAGCACUGUAUCAAGCAUGCCGAUACUGGAAAGAGUGCUGGUAUUGCCCUCUUCUAUGAUGAAAACGUAGAAAUAAAAGAACUUGCCGUUGGCCCGUGGUAUAUUGAUGUGUUGAUCCGUGUGUCUCCU
RNAcentral lists this ribosomal RNA (288 nucleotides) under Triticum aestivum (bread wheat). RNAcentral's name for it is "partial small subunit ribosomal RNA". The record is from RNAcentral. Lineage: Eukaryota; Viridiplantae; Streptophyta; Magnoliopsida; Poales; Poaceae.